GACGAACGCUGGCGGCGUGCUUAACACAUGCAAGUCGAACGGAAAGGCCCCUUUGGGGGUACUCGAGUGGCGAACGGGUGAGUAACACGUGAGUAACCUGCCCUUGACUUCGGGAUAACUUCAGGAAACUGGGGCUAAUACCGGAUAGGAAUCCUUGCUGCAUGGUGGGGGCUGGAAAGCUUCGGCGGUUUUGGAUGGACUCGCGGCGUAUAAGCUUGUUGGUGGGGUCGUGGCUUACCCAGGCUUUGACGGGUAGCCGGCCUGAGCGGGCGACCGGCAACACUGGCACCGAAGCACGGCCCAGACACCUACCGGAGGCCGCAGUGGCGAAUAGUGCACCAUGGGCGGCAGCCGGAUGCAGAAACGCCGCGUGCCGGAGGACGGCCUUCUCGUGGUAAGCAGCUUUCAGCAGGGGCGAAGCUUGUGGUGUCGGUACCUGCAGCAGAAGCACCGGCUAACUACGUG
Molecule: ribosomal RNA, 465 nt
Filed under: uncultured bacterium
Lineage: Bacteria
Description: partial 16S ribosomal RNA
Rfam family: Bacterial small subunit ribosomal RNA
Source: RNAcentral